GCUGGAUCGUCCUUGUGCCCCUAUAGAAAGGCUGGAGAUAAGGACGUAGGUGCUACCGGGGUGAAGCACAAGAAGCAUGGAGAGUGGCGUACAAGGUUGUGCUUGAAGAAGAAAAAUAGCCGUGUUCCAGUUUCUGCCUUCCAAAGAACUGAUACCGACUACAGCAAUGAGCUUACCUCAUGGCACUGAUCCCUGGGAAUUAAGCAGCUUCAGGAAAAUCACUGGGCUUCUUCAUUCAUAAGAAAUAUAAGGAAAGUGUGUCUGUACAGCGUCUGGCAAAGUAGUCCCCUGAUCCCUUGCUGGACAGGGAGGAGCUGCCAGCAUUAAGCACCAAGGGAGCAAGCUGAUAGGAAAUGCACCUGACCUAUUGAGGUGGCACGAAGGCUGAAGUGUGAUCCUGGUGAAAGGGAAAUUCAGAGAAAUUGCUCCAUCAAGUGUUGAAAGGCUUUGCUUAAAUCUGCAACUGUAUUUUCCUGGGUGUUUUUGAGGCGUGUGAACUUCUUCCUGAGAAGUAAAGCUUGUGUGAUGUGGAGAAUUGCUUCAGUGCAGAAAGACUGUAAACCUGUUCAAUUAAAGGAAGUGCUCAGAUCCAGCUGUUGGUGUCCCAUGAAUGCCAGCGGUCCUAGCAAAGUAAAUAAGGCAGACACACUCCGCCUUUGGAACAGAUACGAAGAUUUGCGUCUUAAUUCUCCUGAAAGAAGAGUCUUUGUUUGGAAAAGACCGUUAGCAAAAUGAAAUAGAUGGCAGCAGAAGGGCAGUAUGACACAGAAGAAGCAAAGGUGCGUCACUGAACUCCUCCAUACAGGAAAAAAAUGGCACUACUGAAAACAGAGUGAACACAAACAUCCAUAAAGCAAACGCAAACAAAAACAAUGCAAAGUUAACCUAAACGAAAAAUAAAUGUAAGCAAAGUUAACAUAAAGUAAAUGUAAACAAAAAUGUAAACAAAAGGAAACAAAAAACAAUCUAAACAAAAUAGAAGCUAACAUAUGCAAACAAUGUAAACAAACUAAAGGUAAACUAAAACAAAGUAAAUGAAAACAAAAUUAAUGUAAAUGCAAACAAAACGUAAAUGUAAACAAAGUUAAUGUAAACAAAAACUUAAUGUAAAUAAAAACAAAGCUAAUGUAAGCAGAGUUAACAUAAACAAAGCUAAUGUAAACAAAAUAGAUGCUAACAUAAACAGUUAACGUUAACAAAGUUAAUGUCAACCAAAACAAAGCUAAUGAACUUAAGGUAAACAAAAAUGUUAAUGUCAUGCAAACUAAAAGAAAGCUAACAUAAACAAAGUUAAUGUAAACAUAAAAUUAACAUAAACAAAUACCAAAUAUAAACAAAAGCAAAGUUAAUGUAAACAAAGGUAACAUAAACAUAAGCAAAGCUAAUGUAAAGAAAAACAAGGUGAUCGUAAACAAAAUAGGAGCUUGUGUAAACAAAGUUAAAGUGAGCAUAAACAAUGUUAAUGUAUAGAAAAACAAAGCUAAUGUAAACAAACUUAAAUGAGAAUGAACUUAAUGUAAAUGAAGUUUUAAUGUAAACAAAGUUAAUGUAAUUGAAAACAAUUAAUGUAAACAAGAGUAAAGCUGAAGUAAAUAAAGCUAAAGAAAACAGACCAGUAAAUGUAAACAAUGUAAAUGAAAACAAGGUUAAUGUAAACAAAAACAACGUGAACAUAGAAAAAUUAACGUCAUCAAAAACAAAGUUAGCAUAAACAAAGGUAAUGUCAACAGAAAUAAAUUUAAUGUAAACAGAAGGAGGUUAAGGUAAUGACAACGUUCAUGUAAACAAAGUAAAUGCAAACAAAGCUAACAGACACAAAGUUAACAAAAACUAAUGGUAAAGAAAGCUAAGGUGAACAAAAAUAAACAGAGACAGUUAAUGUGAACAGAAACAAUGUUAAUGUAAACAAGAACAAAGCAGGCUUCAACUUACUGUAAACAGAAACAAAGGAAAUGUUCUCACGUUUAAUGUAAAGAAAUGCAAUGUAAAUGUAAACACACUUAAUGUGAGCAUCAACAAAGUAAAUGAUAACAAAGUUGAAUCAAAAUCAAGUGAAAUGUAAACAAAGUAAAUGUAAAAAAAUCAAAUUUAAUGUAAACAAAAAUGAAGACUGUAGACAAAAACAAAGUAAACAUAAACAAAGUAAAUGUAAAUGCAAUCAAAUAAGCGAAGUACACAUAAAUAAUAAAGAAAACAAACUGUGCCAUGAAAUAAAUAUUUUAUUUUUAUGUUGUCUAUGUGUGCUUUAUUGUUUCUUGUUUAUUCAUUUUAUUAUUAUUGUUUAUUUUAUUCAUUAUUUUUGUUUAUAUUGUUUAUUUUUUUUUACUGUAUAAACAAUAUAAACAUAAAUAAUAAACACACUGGAAACAAUGUAAACAUCAAAUUAAUAAGCGGGUCCAGAGGAGGGAUCUAAGAUGAUCAGAGGGCUGGAGCAGCUCUCCUAGGAGGAAAGGUUGAGGGAACUGGGCUUGUUUAGCUUGGAGAACAGAAGGCUUUGGGGAGAUCUCAUUGUGGCUUUCCAGUACUUGAAGGAAGCAUAUAAAAAGGAGGGGGAAUGGCUGUUUACAAGGGUGGAUAGAGAUAGGACAAGGGGGAAUGGUUUUAAACUGAGACAGCGGAGGUUUAGGUUAGAUUUUAGGAGGAAGUUUUUCACACAGAGGGUGGUGAAGCCCUGGAACAAGUUGCCCAAGGAGGCUGUGGAUGCCCCAUCCCUGGAGGCAUUCAAGGCCAGGCUGGAUGUGGCUCUGGGCAGCCUGGUCUGGUGGUUGGCGACUCUGCACAUAGCAGGGGGUUGGAACUGGAUGAGCAUUGUGGUCCUUUUCAACCCAGGCCUUUCUAUGAAUCUGUGGUUCUAAACAACAAAAAUAAUAAAAACAACAAAAAAUAAAUAAUAAAAAGAUAAAAAAUAAAGAAUAAGAUAUUAUAAAAAUUAAAAAAAAACCGAAA
Molecule: long non-coding RNA, 2946 nt
Organism: Lagopus muta (rock ptarmigan)
Lineage: Eukaryota; Metazoa; Chordata; Aves; Galliformes; Phasianidae
Exons: 7
Source: RefSeq, a predicted model, not a curated record